GGUGGGGGUAUAAAAUCCCUUAGAUUUGUCCUCCAGUCAUUCACUGUGAAAAAGCCAUCGACAGGACUAAGCGGCUGAGAAAGAAACCGACAACAAAAUGGCUAAAAUGUUGACGGCUUACAUUGGAUUCAUUCUCCUUGCCUUGCCUUGUUCAUCACAGAUGAGUCUUAUUAUAACGCCAAAAUGUAUUCGAAAUCUAACGUGCCUUAGGCGGCGCAAUUUUGAAUCCAGGAAUGACAGUUGACCUAUAUGCUAUGAACACAUUUCCCACAAGGUCCACGCGCAAAACACUACCACAAAGUCCCCUGCCAUGACUGCUAUGACCGAAGCUGGCGGCGCGAGUUCCAACAUGACCAAGAUGCCCGAUGUUGUCGCUACCAAGAACAUCACCAUUCCCAAAGGAGCCAGUGUGUCCUUGCUGUCCAGCUCGGUCACGCUCUUUUCCAUCGCGUUGGCGGGCGCUUUCCUACACGGCCGCUUCUAGAAGGCUCCUGUGCACUGAACAGAUACUGCAAUGACUAACAUCAGUGGCCUAGAUGGGGAAAUUGUUUUAGGAAGAGCACACUUUUAUAACUUAAAGGCAGUCGUGUUCGCCUAACCAUAGAUUGAGUGCAAUUAGGCUGUUGCAGUGCUGCAGAACAUCUUUCUAAUUCACUGAUGGGAUUUCUUAUUUGGGGAUCACACCUCCCUGGCCACUUCAAACCAGUAGGCCUAUACAACUUGUGCACUGGCCAUAGGGCCUAUGGUGUGGACCCCUCCAUGGCGGCAGGCCAUGACGAGGAUGUGUGAAACUAGACUCUUUGGUCCCACUGGUCUUGUGUAGAUGGCAGUUUUUUUUUUAAAUGUAUGAAGUGUAAAUUUGCGCAGUGUUUGGUUAGUCUACUAAUAUAAGGAAGUUGGGGUGCAUUGUGGAACAUAAUGUAUCCAGUAGUCUGAUCUUUGUCAUGCAUUGGUGUAGUAUUUCUAAACCUGCAACGGACACUAAAGCUUGUGAUUAUUUGAAGUAUCAAUUUAGUUUAAAUUGUCAUGUUAACUAAUUAUUUGAAAUGUACUUGUGACAAAAUGUAUUUGUUCUUGUAGGCUACAAUAAAAUUUCAUGGGCCUAACUGAUUUGUGUCUCUGUAGUCUAAAGCUUGACGUGCCAACUAAUUGGCUCUGUUCCAUUUGUCUCCAGACCUGGCUAAGCUAUCGUGGCCUAGUAGGAAAGGCGCCCACUGAACACCUCG
Oncorhynchus tshawytscha (Chinook salmon) is the source of this 1226-nucleotide long non-coding RNA. The record is from Ensembl. NCBI's taxonomy places the organism in Eukaryota, Metazoa, Chordata, Actinopteri, Salmoniformes, Salmonidae.